UAAGAAAUGAUGAAAAGGUACAUGAUUAUAAGUAUGGCGAUGAUAAGAUUCAUUUUGUAUAUAAUUAUAAAAUUUGGAUUGAGUAUAAAACGCGUAAAGAUUCCCUUGCACUGUAUUGGCUAAGAAGUGAUCAAACUUCUGAUGGCACACAUCCCUUCCUAUUAACUAACAAUCAAUUUACAUAUGCUAGAGGCAUAUUUCCUUGCCAAGAUUCACCGCAGGUCAGAUUUACAUACACUGCUAAGAUUUCUGUACUUAAAGCAAUCACAGUUAUAGUGGGUGGACGUCAAUGUAAAAGUAUAAUAAAGGGAGACCAAGACCUUCACACUCACAUAUUUUAUGAA
Long non-coding RNA from Cyphomyrmex costatus, 344 nucleotides. RefSeq lists it as uncharacterized. NCBI's taxonomy places the organism in Eukaryota, Metazoa, Arthropoda, Insecta, Hymenoptera, Formicidae. The record is from RefSeq and is a predicted model, not a curated record. The transcript is spliced from 4 exons.